Dipodomys ordii (Ord's kangaroo rat) is the source of this 92-nucleotide non-coding RNA. The record is from Rfam. NCBI's taxonomy places the organism in Eukaryota, Metazoa, Chordata, Mammalia, Rodentia, Heteromyidae.
UGUCUUCCUUGGAUCUUUUUGCGGUCUGGGCUUGCUGUUCCUCUCAAUAGCAGUCAGGAAGCCCUUACCCCAAAAAGUAUCUACGGGAGGCC